This 218-nucleotide long non-coding RNA is filed under the name Nicotiana benthamiana. RNAcentral's name for it is "long non-coding RNA (NBEN_LNC035933)". Lineage: Eukaryota; Viridiplantae; Streptophyta; Magnoliopsida; Solanales; Solanaceae. The record is from RNAcentral.
AAAAUCAUCGAUCUUUCGAUCUCAGAAAACCUCGAAUUUUUAUCAGAGAAUGGUUCAAAUGAUUCAUUGAUUCACACAAGAGCAUCAUCGGAUCACUAUGCAAGGCUCUGAUACUAUGAAAACAUGCACAAUAUCGAAGAAAUUUAGAGAGAGAAAGUAGAGAGAAGGGAGAGCAUCGAAGAGUCUCGAAGAAGACUCAGAAUUCAUUUCUGAAAAUG